AUAGGUUAGUCCUGCUAAUCCCACAUUGUACAUUGCUCUUGCCUCUGUUGAAACUACCUGCAUCAUCAAGUAAAAUUACUUUCAUCUUUUUCAUUUUAAUCAAAUCUAAUCUUACUGCUCUUGUGUUUUUUACAACUCUUGUUGUUUUCUUUCCCUUCUUUUUUGGGGUUUUUGGAUUUUUCAUUUAGAUUAUCCAGAAAAAAAAAUAUAUACAUGUGAGCUGUCGGCAGUCUCUAAUGUCUGAAUCAAAAUUUUCCUUUUGAGCUGGAACCAUGAAAAAGUUUUGAAAAACUCUUGAAUUUAUGUAUGAGUUUCCAUUUUUCCUAAUCCAGUAGGUCAACAACUACCAUUUUUCUUUUGCUAACAAUUAUUGGAUAAUUUGCUUUUUAAUCAACCUUUUUUAAUCUCUCACUUCUUUCCUCUCUCUUCUUUAAGGCAACAAAUUUCUGAAAAAUCUUUCACCCACCCACCUCCUCCACAUAACUUGCCUAGUAGCUGCUAUUGAAGAUAAAAAAAGCAAGAGGGUCCUAAUCAGUGGACCAAUAAUAAUCUAAGGCGAGCAUUUUGUGUAAUCCACAUUGUCAAGAAAGAGAAGCAUAUAGCAUUUUAUGUGAUACCUUUCCAAUGGCUUCAAACAGAGAAGCAUUGAAGGAAGCCGCCGUCAAGAUGACCUGAGGGAAGCUGGUGGCACCAGGAACCACAUUUGAAAAUUUCGUCCCUGGACCAACGUAAGAGACACCGUGCAAAGCCUCCGACCA
Cucumis sativus (cucumber) is the source of this 758-nucleotide long non-coding RNA. RefSeq lists it as uncharacterized. NCBI's taxonomy places the organism in Eukaryota, Viridiplantae, Streptophyta, Magnoliopsida, Cucurbitales, Cucurbitaceae. The transcript has 2 exons. The record is from RefSeq and is a predicted model, not a curated record.